This 19-nucleotide unclassified non-coding RNA is filed under the name Ateles geoffroyi (black-handed spider monkey). RNAcentral's name for it is "partial precursor microRNA mir-25". Lineage: Eukaryota; Metazoa; Chordata; Mammalia; Primates; Atelidae. The record is from RNAcentral.
GGCCAGUGUUGAGAGGCGG